Molecule: ribosomal RNA, 402 nt
Filed under: bacterium
Lineage: Bacteria
Description: partial 16S ribosomal RNA
Rfam family: Bacterial small subunit ribosomal RNA
Source: RNAcentral
UGGGGAAUUUUGCACAAUGGGGGAAACCCUGAUGCAGCGACGCCGCGUGAUUUAGAAGGCCUUCGGGUUGUAAAAAUCUUUUCUAUGGGAAGAAAAUGACAGUACCAUAGGAAUAAGGACCGGCUAAUUACGUGCCAGCAGCCGCGGUAAUACGUAAGGUCCGAGCGUUGUCCGGAAUCAUUGGGCGUAAAGGGUACGUAGGCGGGUAAGCAAGUUACAAGUGAAAUCCUAUAGCUCAACUAUAGUAAGCUUUUAAAACUGCUCAUCUUGAGGUAUGGAAGGGAAAGUGGAAUUCCUAGUGUAGCGGUGAAAUGCGCAGAUAUUAGGAGGAAUACCGGUGGCGAAGGCGACUUUCUGGCCAUAACCUGACGCUGAGGUACGAAAGCGUGGGUAGCAAACAGG